GAGGGAUGCCAAUAUUCUGUUAGACCAGGUUGUUACGGCUGCGGUCCUGCCUUUGUGGCUUUGGGAAGGUAUUCUGCAAGUUGGCGUUUGAAGAUCUGUUUGUACAAGGUCAAACCAGUUCCUCAUCUGCGUGCUGUUAGCAUGGCUC
This is a long non-coding RNA of Cygnus olor (mute swan), 148 nucleotides long. RefSeq lists it as uncharacterized. The transcript is spliced from 3 exons. The record is from RefSeq and is a predicted model, not a curated record. NCBI's taxonomy places the organism in Eukaryota, Metazoa, Chordata, Aves, Anseriformes, Anatidae.